GCUCAGGACGAACGCUGGCGGCGUGCCUAAUACAUGCAAGUCGAGCGGAGUUGAUGAAGUGCUUGCACUUCUGAGACUUAGCGGCGGACGGGUGAGUAACACGUAGGUAACCUGCCCAUAAGACUGGGAUAACCCACGGAAACGUGAGCUAAUACCAGAUAGGCAUUUUCCUCGCAUGAGGGAGAUGAGAAAGGCGGAGCAAUCUGCCACUUAUGGAUGGACCUGCGGCGCAUUAGCUAGUUGGUAAGGUAACGGCUUACCAAGGCGACGAUGCGUAGCCGACCUGAGAGGGUGAUCGGCCACACUGGGACUGAGACACGGCCCAGACUCCUACGGGAGGCAGCAGUAGGGAAUCUUCCGCAAUGGACGAAAGUCUGACGGAGCAACGCCGCGUGAGUGAUGAAGGUUUUCGGAUCGUAAAGCUCUGUUGCCAGGGAAGAACGCCUAGGAGAGUAACUGCUCCUAGGGUGACGG
This 474-nucleotide ribosomal RNA is filed under the name uncultured bacterium. RNAcentral's name for it is "bacterial SSU rRNA". It matches the Rfam family "Bacterial small subunit ribosomal RNA", at positions 22 to 475 of the family's 1533-position model. The record is from RNAcentral.